RNAcentral lists this transfer RNA (73 nucleotides) under Sphingomonadales bacterium. Its description in RNAcentral is "tRNA-Trp". It matches the Rfam family "tRNA". Rfam says of the family: Transfer RNA (tRNA) molecules are approximately 80 nucleotides in length. Their secondary structure includes four short double-helical elements and three loops (D, anti-codon, and T loops). Lineage: Bacteria; Pseudomonadati; Pseudomonadota; Alphaproteobacteria; Sphingomonadales. The record is from RNAcentral.
ACCGGUGAGCGCAUGGGCGCGGCCUGGCCUCCAAAGCCAUCGUCUGCUGGUUCGAUUCCAGCCACCGGUGCCA